Molecule: ribosomal RNA, 253 nt
Filed under: uncultured bacterium
Lineage: Bacteria
Description: partial 16S ribosomal RNA
Rfam family: Bacterial small subunit ribosomal RNA
Source: RNAcentral
UACGAAGGGGGCUAGCGUUGCUCGGAAUCACUGGGCGUAAAGCGCACGUAGGCGGGUCGUUAAGUCAGGGGUGAAAUCCUGGAGCUCAACUCCAGAACUGCCUUUGAUACUGGCGAUCUCGAGUUCGGGAGAGGUGAGUGGAACUGCGAGUGUAGAGGUGAAAUUCGUAGAUAUUCGCAAGAACACCAGUGGCGAAGGCGGCUCACUGGCCCGAUACUGACGCUGAGGUGCGAAAGCGUGGGGAGCGAACAGG